RNAcentral lists this ribosomal RNA (462 nucleotides) under uncultured bacterium. RNAcentral's name for it is "partial 16S ribosomal RNA". It matches the Rfam family "Bacterial small subunit ribosomal RNA", at positions 29 to 507 of the family's 1533-position model. The record is from RNAcentral.
AGUGAACGCUGGCGGCGUGCCUAAUACAUGCAAGUCGAACGGAGAUUAAGUAGCUUGCUAUUUAAUCUUAGUGGCGCACGGGUGAGUAAUAUAUAGCUAACUUGCCCAUUACUAAGGGACAACAGUUGGAAACGACUGCUAAUACCUUAUACUCCGUAUCUAUAUAAGUAGAUACGGGAAAGUUUUUCGGUAAUGGAUAGGGCUAUAUCGUAUCAGCUAGUUGGUAAGGUAAUGGCUUACCAAGGCUAUGACGCGUAACUGGUCUGAGAGGAUGAUCAGUCACCCUGGAACUGAGACACGGUCCAGACUCCUACGGGAGGCAGCAGUAGGGAAUAUUGCUCAAUGGGGGAAACCCUGAAGCAGCAACGCCGCGUGGAGGAUGACACUUUUCGGAGCGUAAACUCCUUUUCUUGGGAAAGAAUUAUGACGGUACCCAAGGAAUAAGCACCGGCUAACUCCGUG